Molecule: ribosomal RNA, 463 nt
Filed under: uncultured bacterium
Lineage: Bacteria
Description: partial 16S ribosomal RNA
Rfam family: Bacterial small subunit ribosomal RNA
Source: RNAcentral
GAUGAACGCUGACAGAAUGCUUAACACAUGCAAGUCGAUGGGGAAGUGGUGCUUGCACCAUGGCAACCAUGGCGGACGGGUGAGUAACGCGUAAGGGACUUACCUGCAGGACUGGGAUAACAGGGGGAAACUCCUGACAAGACCGGAUAAUGUCAUGGAGCUGCAUGGCUUUAUGAUGAAAGGAGACGCCUGCGGAGAGCCUUGCGUCCUAUUAGCUAGUUGGUGAGGUAAUGGCUCACCAAGGCGAAGAUAGGUAGCCGGCCUGAGAGGGUGGACGGCCACAAGGGGACUGAGAUACGGCCCUUACUCCUACGGGAGGCAGCAGUGGGGAAUAUUGGACAAUGGGGGCAACCCUGAUCCAGCAAUUCUGUGUGCACGAAGAAGGUUUUCGGAUUGUAAAGUGCUUUCAGCAGGGAAGAAGUAAGUGACGGUACCUGCAGAAGAAGCGACGGCUAAAUACGAG